This 399-nucleotide ribosomal RNA is filed under the name uncultured bacterium. Its description in RNAcentral is "partial 16S ribosomal RNA". It matches the Rfam family "Bacterial small subunit ribosomal RNA", at positions 28 to 526 of the family's 1533-position model. The record is from RNAcentral.
GACGAACGCUGGCGGCGUGCUUAACACAUGCAAGUCGAACGAAGUGGGAACGGGUGAGUAAUACGUGGGUAACCUCCCUCCUUUUUGGGAUAAGCCUUGGAAACGGGGUCUAAACCGAAUAGCUGGGCUCGCGGCCUAUCAGCUUGUUGGUGGGGUGAUGGCCUACCAAGGCGGUGACGGGUAGCCUGCCUGAGAGGGUGACCGGCCACAUUGGGACUGAGAGACGGCCCAGACUCCUACGGGAGGCAGCAGUGGGGAAUAUUGCACAAUGGGCGAAAGCCUGAUGCAGCGACGCCGCGUGAGUGAAGAAGGUUUUCGGAUCGUAAAACUCUGUUGUUAGAGAAGCGGUAUCUAACCAGAAAGCCCCGGCUAACUACGUGCCAGCCGCCGCGGUAAUAC